UGUACAUGUUUCCAGAUGGAAAAAUGAACCAGACGACUGUACUCACUUAGAAAUAUAACCUUAGGAAAAAAAAUCCAGUGAUCUGUGGAUACUACCUCAAGCUUCAUUUGUGUUUUAUUUUUGGCUUAUAAUGAUAUUAUUUUGUUAUACACUCCCUAUGUUUUAAUUUUUGACUUUUAUACAAUUUUCAUUUGCUUUAUUCCUAUUUAGCAGAACCUUCAGAAUGGGGGAUUAUUUUGGAAAUAUUUGAAAUCUUUAUGGAAAUUCCAGGAAAUCUUCUUGCUAUAGCUUGGGUCUGAAGUAGCCCCUGAAGCCUGUGUGUUAAAGGUUUAGUUGCCAACCUGUGCUACUGGUAGGGAGCAGUGGAAACUUUUGGAGCUGAGGUCUGGAGGAGAGAAGUUAGGCCAUUGCUGUGCCAUUAAAGGGAUUCUGCACUCUGGUCUGUCUGUCUGUCUCUUUCCCUUUGCUGGCUGCCAUGAGGUGAGCCGAUUUUCCCCACCACACACACUCCUCAACAUGCUACUCUACCUCACCACAGUCCCCAAACAACAGUGUCAACCGACCAAGGACAGAAGCCUCUGAAACUCCUGAGACUUCAAUGAAGAUGAUUCUAUGCCUGGGUCCAGGAGUGAAGAAUAUGACAUUUAUUAAAAACCUAAAUGCAUUUCAUCUCCGUGGCUUCUAUGAUUGUUCAAGGACUGGUGAAGAACACUCAGGCAGUCAGGGCCCAUGCGACUCAGUUCUGGAACUUUGGUUUGUGUAGCAGCAAAAGCAAAGCCUCAUCUGUGCGACUGAUGCCUAUGAAGUGAGGCUGGAACUGCAAGAGGAUCGCUUCAGCAAGCCCGAGAGUGAGUCAGCCCGGCUGAGUGUGGGCUGGAGAAAUGGGCAGUCUCAGCUGUGGCUCCGGCCGGAGCUGCUGCCCUGUGCCUUCUGCAGGGACGUGAGCCGCUCCUCCCAGGCAGUGCCACCCUCCUUUUCUCUCAUCAGCCACGUCAGAUUGGCCGUUCAUCACUUACUAAAAGAGUCAGAAUGAUCCAGGUUCUAAAGUGGGAUCCGGGAGACAUUAGCAGUUCUGUCACUGUCAGCCUGCAGAGGUUUGGGGCAGUUCAUUUAAACUUUCUCUGGACAUUCAUCUUCAGUGAAAUGAGCAGGUUGAAUUAGACAAUUGAAAAAUCUCUUCCUGCUUCAGAAUUCUGUGAUUUCUGUGUGACUUUGCUUCCAGAUCUAACCUGAGCACCUCGGCUGUUGUCCUCUGCACCUUUUCCAGUUAGUCAAGUUGUUAUCGGAGUGGUCAAUCCUUAAAAGCUAAAGAACAGAAGCAAUGUUCUCAUGAUGCAGCGUCCUUUGUCACUCAUUACUGAAUUACAAAAGUUUAUUUUCCCCAUCCUCCUAAUUGCAGAAAAGAGAAUCUUUUAAAAUGCUUUGCUGUGCAUAUAAGCGUUCCUAUCAUAAUUCUAAUACAUAUAUAAUUUUAAGACUCUGUAGUGAAAUAACCCCGUUUUAAUGGGUAAAAGUAGGCCUAUCACUCUUUUGCUUCCGAAGUUUUAUUUUGAGAAAUUUCACACCUUCAAAAAGUUGCAAUAGUGCAAUGAACAUCCACAGAGCAAUCACCUGGAUUGUCUAGUUAAUAUCUCGCUAUAUUUGCAUUCCUGUGCUGUAUUUCCUGAGCAAGUGUGUUACUCUUUGUGCAUUUUAAGACGAGAAGGGCUGCUGAGCAGAAGACCACUCUUUCCCUGGACAUUUAGGGGUUGGAGAGGCAGAAGUAGCACAGACAGAGUCUUGAUCUGCCCGAAUUCCAAUCCUGGCUCUCUAAUUCUCCAAUUCAUGUUUGCAAAAUACCAGGUAUGAUUGGCACCAAAGUUCAUACUUAAAACUUAUUAGUUAAUAUCAAUAUUUUGUGAAUAGAACUGAUAAUGUGAACUUAGCUUGAUUUUUCACUGGAUAAGGGAAAAUUUAGUUAUAUCUCUGUUCUGCAAAUGAGCUUGCAUCUUGAGUUUUUUCAUGUAGAAAUAACUUAGUGGUUGGCUUAAAAGGGAAUGAACAAUACUAAAAUGGGAAUGAAAGAGUGUGUAUUUCUAGCUGGGCAAGAAAUCAGACCCCAAAUAGCAUCUGCCAAUACGGUUCUAGCGGAUGUGAGCGAGAUCCGGGGGGCGGAUGGGUUUCAUCUCUGUGCCAGUUACUGGCAGGAGCUGCCUGGCAUAGCAUAUAAAGAGGCUGGCGAGAGCUUACCGGGAGAGGGACCCAUGCCACAGGAGCCGUGAGCCACGGCCUGGUUGCUGUGGUCUGAGGGCGCCCCCACUCCCCAUUUGCCACGUUGCGUUCAUAUCCUGUGACGUGGCAGCAGUGUGACAGGAUGAAGAAGUGAGGCCUAGAGGCAACUAAGCCCGGAGAGCAGAUCGCUCCUGGUGGGAUUAGCGCCCUUACAAAAGGGCCUGGUGGAGUGCAUGGAUUCUCUUGUGCUCUUCUGCCACCUGAGGUCACCAUGCAUUGCUUCUUUUGCCCUUCCAACCCUUCUGCAGGGUGGGACAAGGAGGGCAAGGUACCAUCUUGGGAGCUGAGACCAGGCCUCUCUAGAUGAUGAGCCUGGGCCUGGAGCUUGAACUUCCUCUCCUUGAGAGCUGCAGGAAAUGAAUCUCCACUAUUCUCUAAUGAUGUCAUCCCAAAUAUUUUGUUACAGCAGGACAAAAGUACAAAGGCAUAUGCUCUUGCCAGUUCUGCUCUAGAUAAGAAAGACAAAGAAAGUGAGUUUCAGAAACGUGACAACCCACUGAUAAAUACUGUCAAGGCUAAGAGGAGAGAGAAAAAUCAGUGGGUCGAAUCAAGUAUCCUGCCAGGCCUGUUAGUAAACUAGGAACAUAUCUGUACACUAUUCUAGCACUUACCACACUGAAUGACUCGUGUGUUCCUUUCUCCGGCUAGACCAUAAGUUUCUGCAAGGAAAAUUCACCAUCGUCCGUGUUUUAUGAAAUGUCAGGUACGUAAUGGCACAUGAUCAAUAUUAGAGCUGACCCCACUGUAUCCUAGUUUUGAUGAGGAUUGGGCUGAAAGCCUUCACCCUGUUAAACUCAC
Molecule: long non-coding RNA, 3069 nt
Organism: Heterocephalus glaber (naked mole-rat)
Lineage: Eukaryota; Metazoa; Chordata; Mammalia; Rodentia; Bathyergidae
Source: Ensembl